GUGUGUGUGUGUGUGUGCACAUCUGUAUGUAGGCCUGUGUGUGUGUGUGUGUGUGUGUGCACAUCUGUAUGUAGGCCUGUGUGUGUGUGUGUGUGUGUGUGUGUGUGUGUGUGCACAUCUGUAUGUAGGCCUGUGUGUGUGUGUGUGUGUGUGUGUGUGUGUGCACAUCUGUAUGUAGGCCUGUGUGUGUGUGUGUGUGCACAUCUGUAUGUAGGCCUGUGUGUGUGUGUGUGUGUGUGUGUGUGUGUGUGCACAUCUGUAUGUAGGCCUGUGUGUGUGUGUGUGUGUGUGCACAUCUGUAUGUAGGCCUGUGUGUGUGUGUGUGUGCACAUCUGUAUGUAGGCCUGUGUGUGUGUGUGUGUGUGUGUGUGUGUGUGCACAUCUGUAUGUAGGCCUGUGUGUGUGUGUGUGUGUGUGCACAUCUGUAUGUAGGCCUGUGUGUGUGUGUGUGUGCACAUCUGUAUGUAGGCCUGUGUGUGUGUGUGUGUGUGUGUGCACAUCUGUAUGUAGGCCUGUGUGUGUGUGUGUGCACAUCUGUAUGUAGGCCUGUGUGUGUGUGCACAUCUGUAUGU
Molecule: long non-coding RNA, 572 nt
Organism: Clupea harengus (Atlantic herring)
Lineage: Eukaryota; Metazoa; Chordata; Actinopteri; Clupeiformes; Clupeidae
Source: Ensembl